UACGAAGGGGGCGAGCGUUGUUCGGAUUUACUGGGCGUAAAGGGCGCGCAGGCGGCUCAUUUUGUCAGGCGUGAAAGCCCCGGGCUUAACCUGGGAACUGCGUUUGAUACGGAUGGGCUAGAGUUCGGGAGAGGAGAGUGGAAUUCCCAGUGUAGAGGUGAAAUUCGUAGAUAUUCGGAAGAACACCAGUGGCGAAGGCGGCUCACUGGCCCGGUACUGACGCUGAGGUGCGAAAGCGUGGGGAGCAAACAGG
Molecule: ribosomal RNA, 253 nt
Filed under: uncultured bacterium
Lineage: Bacteria
Description: partial 16S ribosomal RNA
Rfam family: Bacterial small subunit ribosomal RNA
Source: RNAcentral